RNAcentral lists this ribosomal RNA (430 nucleotides) under Bacillota bacterium. Its description in RNAcentral is "Firmicutes bacterium partial 16S ribosomal RNA". It matches the Rfam family "Bacterial small subunit ribosomal RNA", at positions 355 to 776 of the family's 1533-position model. The record is from RNAcentral. Lineage: Bacteria; Bacillati; Bacillota.
UAGGGAAUCUUCCGCAAUGGACGAAAGUCUGACGGAGCGACGCCGCGUGAGCGAAGAAGGUCUUCGGAUCGUAAAGCUCUGUUGUUAGGGAAGAAGAAGUGCCGUUCGAACAGGGCGGCACGGUGACGGUACCUAACGAGAAAGCCCCGGCUAACUACGUGCCAGCAGCCGCGGUAAUACGUAGGGGGCGAGCGUUGUCCGGAAUUAUUGGGCGUAAAGCGCGCGCAGGCGGUCCCUUAAGUCUGAUGUGAAAGCCCACGGCUUAACCGUGGAGGGUCAUUGGAAACUGGGGGACUUGAGUGCAGAAGGGGAGAGCGGAAUUCCACGUGUAGCGGUGAAAUGCGUAGAGAUGUGGAGGAACACCAGUGGCGAAGGCGGCUCUCUGGUCUGUAACUGACGCUGAGGCGCGAAAGCGUGGGGAGCAAACAGG